Molecule: transfer RNA, 72 nt
Filed under: Medicago truncatula (barrel medic)
Lineage: Eukaryota; Viridiplantae; Streptophyta; Magnoliopsida; Fabales; Fabaceae
Description: tRNA-Pro (TGG) (tRNA-Pro-TGG-6-1)
Rfam family: tRNA
About the family: Transfer RNA (tRNA) molecules are approximately 80 nucleotides in length. Their secondary structure includes four short double-helical elements and three loops (D, anti-codon, and T loops).
Source: Rfam by way of RNAcentral
GGCCAUUUGGUCUAGUGGUAUGAUUCUCGCUUUGGGUGUGAGAGGUUCCGAGUUCGAUUCUCGGAAUGCCCC